GAUGAACGCUGGCGGCGUGCCUAAUACAUGCAAGUCGAGCGAACGGGCGAGAAGCUUGCUUUUCUGAUGUUAGCGGCGGACGGGUGAGUAACACGUGGAUAACCUACCUAUAAGACUGGGAUAACUUCGGGAAACCGGAGCUAAUACCGGAUAAUAUUUUGAACCGCAUGGUUCAAAAGUGAAAGACGGUCUUGCUGUCACUUAUAGAUGGAUCCGCGCUGCAUUAGCUAGUUGGUAAGGUAACGGCUUACCAAGGCAACGAUGCAUAGCCGACCUGAGAGGGUGAUCGGCCACACUGGAACUGAGACACGGUCCAGACUCCUACGGGAGGCAGCAGUAGGGAAUCUUCCGCAAAGGGCGAAAGCCUGACGGAGCAACGCCGCGUGAGUGAUGAAGGUCUUCGGAUCGUAAAACUCUGUUAUUAGGGAAGAACAUAUGUGUAAGUAACUGUGCACAUCUUGACGGUACCUAAUCAGAAAGCCACGGCUAACUACGUG
RNAcentral lists this ribosomal RNA (497 nucleotides) under uncultured bacterium. RNAcentral's name for it is "partial 16S ribosomal RNA". It matches the Rfam family "Bacterial small subunit ribosomal RNA", at positions 28 to 507 of the family's 1533-position model. The record is from RNAcentral.